GGCCCCUUGUUUAUAGAGUAUAGGGGGUCUGGCCUGCCCAGUGACAUGUGUUAAACGGCCGCGGUAUUUUGACCGUGCAAAGGUAGCAUAAUCAUUUGCUCAUUAAUUGUGGGCUAGUAUGAAUGGCUUGACGAGGGUAGAACUGUCUCUUGGUAGGAUAUAUAGAAGUUAUUUUUUAGGUGAAGAGACCUGAAUGUGGCUAAGGGACGAUAAGACCCUAUCGAGCUUUAGUGGAAUUUUUAGGGCACAUAGAAUAAAUUUAUAUUUUGUUAUUUAGGGGAAUCUUUGAUUGGGGCGAUAUUGAAGUAAGUGAAACCUUUAGUGGUAGUGUUGGGCCGACAGGUUAAAGAUCUGGCAUAUUAUGCAGAGAGGAGGAAUAAGUUACCGUAGGGAUAACAGCGUAAUCUUUUUGGAGAGUUCUUAUUGAGAAAAGGGUUUGCGACCUCGAUGUUGGAUUAAGGUGACCUAAGGGUGUAGGUGCUUUUGAGGGUUAGUCUGUUCGACUAUUAAAACUUUACA
This 519-nucleotide ribosomal RNA is filed under the name Amblychilepas sp. MNHN IM 2013-363. RNAcentral describes it as "partial large subunit ribosomal RNA". It matches the Rfam family "Bacterial large subunit ribosomal RNA", at positions 1817 to 2600 of the family's 2925-position model. The record is from RNAcentral. Lineage: Eukaryota; Metazoa; Mollusca; Gastropoda; Lepetellida; Fissurellidae.